Molecule: long non-coding RNA, 5927 nt
Filed under: Sus scrofa (pig)
Lineage: Eukaryota; Metazoa; Chordata; Mammalia; Artiodactyla; Suidae
Description: lncRNA (ENSSSCG00000060033.1)
Source: RNAcentral
AACUCUGAGACUAAAAAGCAAAGUUAAAAAUGACUGAAAAGGAGUUCCCAUUGUGGGAAUGGAGCAAUAUCCAAGAACUGUGGGUUGACUACAAAAGGAGAAAAAAGAAAAUGGAGCAGAUGCAAUAUUUGAAGUCCUAAUGAUGGAGAAUUUCCCCCAAAUUAAUGUGAGAUCCUAAGCCAUGGAUCCAAAGUUCAGAGAACAGCUGGGAGAGUAAAUGCAAAACAAAACAAAACAAAAACCUCACACACAUUCAGAAAACAAUCAAAAAGACUAUACCUAGGUAAAUCACCUUCAAACUGAAGAAUUUAAAAGAUGAAGAAAAAGCUUGAAAGAAAGCAGAGUGAAAAAAAAUAUAUAAAGAGGUGCAAAGAUAAGAAUUAUAUCCAAGUUUUCCUCAGAAAACUGUGUGAAGAAGUAAAGACUUUCUCAGACAAAAAAAAAAAAAAUUGACAGAAUUUGCUGCCAGUGGGCUUGUCUUGUAGGAAAUGUUAAAGUAAGUUCUUCAGAGAGAAAGAGCAUGGUAUAAGUCAGAGGCUUAAAUUUACAUAAAGGAAGAACAUUAGAGAAAGAUAAAUAAAUGAAGGAAUUAGAGAAGAAUAAAUAAUUUAAAAAGGGAUUCCAUUAGAGAAGGAAUAAGUAAAUGAAGGUAAAAAACAUUCAAGAAUGAAAAAUACAUAUUACAUAUGGAGGAAUAUAAUAUGACAGCAGACUUCUUGAGAAUACCUUCAAGGGAUAUUUUUAAAGUGAGGGCGAGAGCAGUCAACCUAGAAUUCUAAACCUAAUGAAAACAUUAAAAGAUGAAGGUAAAGAAUUUCAGACAAAAGAAAGCUAAGAAAAUUCAUUGUUACCAGAUCUGCACUAGAAAGCAUGUUAAAGGAAGCUUUUCAGACUGAAAUGAAAUGAUUUCUGAUGGAAAUUUGAAACCACACGUGUGCAAAUACACCCACCCACUAAUGCAGAGCCCUGGAAAUGGUAAAUAUGUAAAUAAAUACAAAAGAAAUAUUUUUCUAAUUUUUACUACCUUGUAAAUAUAAUUGUUUAAAUCAAAAUUAGCAACAAGCAUGGUGGGGUUCAUAAUACAAGUGGUAGUAAAAUGUAUGGGAAUGAAGGAUAGGGACAGGGAAAUGGAAACACACUAUUGUUAAGAUUCUUUAACUGUAUGCAUAUUUGUAGUCUUAUGUGAAGGUAAACUGUAAUAAAUUGAAGAUAUAUAUGGUACAACUUAGAGAACGUACUCAAAAAUAUUCAAUCCAAAAGAUGAGAAAAGAAGGACAAAGUAAUGAAGAAUAAAUACGUUAAAUAAAAAACAAGCAGGAAUAUUAUAGAUAUAAACCCAGUUAUAUCGAUAAUUGCAUUAAAUAUAAAUGGUCUAAAUCAUCUCAGUUAAAAAACAGAUUAUAAAAUAUAAAAAUAAGGACCAGUAGUUCCCGUUGUGGUGCAGCAGAAACGAAUCUGACUAGGAACCAUGAGGUUGCAGGUUCAAUCCCUGGCCUCACUCAGUGGCUUAAGGAUCUGGCCUUGCCAAGAGCUGUGGUGUGGGUCGCAGACACGGCUCAGAUCUGGCAUUGCUGUGGCUGUGGCAUAACCUGGCAGCUGCAGCUCCAAUUCAACCCCUAGAUUGAGAACUUCCAUAUGCUGCAGGUGUGGCCCUAAAAAGCAGAAAAAAAGAAAAGAACCAAUUUGUUCUUAUUUCUUGUAACAAUGUACAAGAAACACACUUUCAGUAUAAAGGCAGAGAAAGGUUAAAAGUGAAAGAAGAGAAAAGAUAUCCCGUAUAAACACUAAUGAAAAGAAAGGUGGAAUGGCUAGGACAACAGGGAACUCCAUGUAUUGUAUACCCUUCUCCUUGAUAGUUGCUUCAUUUGCACCUAUUUUGGAGACCUCUUUUACUGAUCUCUAAUUUUUUGUGUUUGUUUAUAUGGCAUUGGAUCACUGUAACAGCAGUGUCAGAGCUGUGCUAAUUCCCCUCAUUUCCCCAAGGCAAGAAAUCCCUCCUGUUUACUUCAUUGUCCUGAGCACCCCCUCCCUGGCAGUGGCAGAGUUUAUCUGUUUAUCAUCAUUCCUGCCCAUCAGCACAUCAGAAAGAAAGGACUAGAACUUAUGUAGACACAUAUUGAAACACUGUGCACUUCUCUUUCUGAUAGGACUAACAGUAUCAGCACAUGCUUUUUCACCAUUUCCUCAGCAUUUCCAUUUCCUAUAGAGGAGGAAUCUGGUUUUUCAGUUUCCUCUGUUCAUUUGUUUCCUCUUCCUUGCUCUCCAAUGAUGUGACAGACAGUUUUAGAAGUAUUCUUUGGGCUUUAGAAAUGCAGAUUUGGGAGCAUGACAGGCAAGCUGUAAGGAGAAAUUUUGCUAGAGAAAUAGAAGGGGGGAAGAAAAUGGAAUAUAUAAGAGAAGUAGGAGAGAAAGUGGAAUUUUAAGAACUGAUCUUUUGAAAUGUAUAUUGCCUUCACGGUGUUUGAGAAAUUAUAAAGAAGUGUGUGAGAAUGGAAGGAGGGAAGGAAGGAAGGCAGGAGGGCUACCUUGAAAAUUUAGUUUUGGGUCUAUCUAAACUGAAGUUCUUUGAUUGUAAAUUGCUCUUGGAUGGUGUAUGGUCAGACCACCCAAUGGCUGUUCUGCUUUCUGUACCUUCCCUGCUGACUGAUCUCUGAUUCACCUGUACCCUAGUCACAUGACUGACUUCCAAGUCAUUGAGCCUAAUCAAUGUCUACAUACUUGCCCCAGCCCCAGCUAAUGAUUGUUCUGAUGAAAACUGUGUCUGCUCUAUCUGAUAGCUUAUCAAAGGGGUGGUGAGGGGCGUGUUCAUAGGCUGGUUUCCCUGGUAACCCAUGAACCAAGCUGACUGGUAACCUCCCUCCACACCUCCCGCCCUGGUUGUAAAGACUGCCACCAUAUCCUGCCCACUGUCUGCCACACAUGGUGGGGUGUUGCUCCAGGAUGUUUUUUCAAACAUGUAAGAUCUCCCUGUCCAUGUCUGUUUGUUGAUUCCAGGCUCUUUCUUCAUUCUUGAGGCUGGGCAAGUACAGGGCUUGCAGACCUGCAGGGUACAACUCAACAGAUGGACUACAAGAGUGACCUUCAGUAGUAAGACAGUUUUAAAUCUGCAUUCUCCAAAGCCCACACACCAUUAAGUAGAAGGUCAUAUGGGCCUGGAAAAAAACUGCUGAGAUACUGGCAAUUGCUCAGCUUCUUUGACUAGAAAGGAGAUAAAGAAAUGAAGUGAGGAGUUCCCACUGUAAUACAGUGGGUUAAGGAUCUAGGCAUUGCUGCAGCUGUGGUGUAGGUCAUAUCUGUGGCUUGGAUUUUAUCACUGGCAACCUCCAUAUGCUGGGGGUGCACCCAUAAAAUUUUUUUUUUUUAUUUUUAAAAAGAAGUGAACAGAUUCUGCAGCAUUCAGGGGGAAAAGAAUCACAGCUCUGAAAUUAGUAUCUUAGUCAUUGAGGUAGCUGCAUCCUAAUCAGAAAAUAUGGUUUAGGAGAGACUCUGAAUAAUCCUGCAUCUUGAAAAAAUGCUUUCUGAAAAGAAACAUAACCACAAAGCUGAAAAGAAACAUAACCACAAAGCUGAAUUUUCCAUGGGACAAACUGAUGAAGAGAAAACAGCAGGACAAAGCCAGUAUUGAAUAGAAGAAAUCAGCAAAAGGGAAUCUAGAGAGCUCACUAGACAGUAACGGUUCAAUAGCACAGUUUGAAAAGAAAUGCAAAUAACAAUGCUCAGAGCAUCACAGAGGAAAAUAAUGGCAAAACAGUGCUAAAAUGGAAGCCAGCGGAUAAGGCACUUUCAUAAACUGGCUGAGGAACUGUGACAUGGUAAACCUUUCUGGAAUGCAGUUUGGCAGUAUGUACCAGAAUUUAAAAUUUUAAAUGUAUAUUCCCUUGACAUGGCAAUUCUCUUUGUAGGAAUUUUCUCUGAGGAUAUAAAUAAACAAGUACAUAAAGAUAUAUGGGCAAGGAUUUUUAAAAGUCGUUUUUAUAUAAUAGCAAAAAAAAAAAAACCAUUGUGAAUAAUUGAAUUAUCCAUCAGUAGGGGCUUGGUUUAAUAAAUUAAUUACAUCCAUGCAGUGGAACAUUAUGCACUGUGCAGCUCUUAUAAGCAAGCCAGACUCUGGAGUCAGACUGUCUGAGUUUAAAUCUGGCCUUACCACUUGUACAAUUUUGAUCACAUCAUUUAAUAUCUCUGCCUAAAUUUGCUACGAUAUGAAAUGUUUUAAAAUCUCUAAAAUAACUUCAUAAUUUAUAACCUCUAUCAUGGAAAGUGUGACAAAGAUGGAAUAAAUUAAUGCAUCGAAAACUCAUGCACGUAAGUACUCAAUAAGUCUUAGAUAUUACUAUGCAAAUAUUAUAGAUGAUAAUAUCUGUCUAUAUUAACAUAAAAAUGAUUAUGUUGAGUCAAAGUUAUAGACUAGCUCAUAAUACAGGUUUAUGUUUAUAUAGAAUAAUUUAUGUUUGAAUGCAUGCAUAGAGUUCUGAAAAGAUGUUUGCUACAAUUUUAAUACUGGAUAUCUCCGACAGUGGUGUUUCAAAUUAUUUUUAUUUUUUUUCCUGAUUUUCUAAUUUGAUAUUUUUAAAUUAACAUAUAAUAUAAUAACUCCUGAAAUGGCCAUCUAGGAAAUUUAGAUAAGCUUUUCUCCUGGGAAAACAAAACUCCAGAUAAAAUAUGAAAAUCAUAAUUUUAAAGCCCUAAAAAUCCAACUAGAUAGUAAGGAAUUACAAGCCGAAAUCUUGGAAGAGGUUAAAUUGCUCACUCAAAGCAACUUUUAUUCUGAGGUCAUUUGUUGAUAUGUUAAGAAACAACUGCUAACUGAGCUGUAGUUCUGAGGAUUGCAUGAGCCAAGGGAAAGAGAAGUUAAAGCCCAGGUUUGCAGCUUGUGAUGAGAGUCUAAUACUCAUUCUCCCAUAUACCUACUAAGCUGGUACCCUGACUGGUUUUAUUCUCAGAGUAAGGGUGCACUAAAAGUAAUUCUGUCUUUAUUCUUUUUUUUUCUUUCCUUCCUUCUUUCUUUUCUUUUAGCUUUUUAGGGUCACACUCGUGGCAGGCUUGUGGAGGUUCCCGGGCUAGGGGUCGAAUCAGAGCUACAGAUGCUGGCCUAUGCCAUAGCCACAGCAGUGCAGGAUCCAAGCUGCAUCUGCUACCUACCAAUAGCUCACAGCAAUGCCAGAUCCUUCACCUACUGAGCGAGGCCAGGGAUCAAACCCACAACCUCAAGGUUCCUAGUCAGAUUCAUUUCCACUGCACUACAAUGGGAACGUCUCCUUCUUUCUUCCUUCCUCCCUCCCUUUUCUUUUUUCUUUUCUUUUCUUUUCUUUUCUUUUCUUUUCUUUUCUUUUCUUUUCCCUUCCUUCCUUCCUUUCUUUCUUUUCUCUCUCUCUCUCUUUCUUCCUUUCUUUCUUCCUCUUCCUCCCUCCCUCACUCCUCCAUCCUUUCCUUCCUUCCUUCUGGGAUUUUCAGCAUGGCUUAACAUCACCUGGGCAAUCAAAAACAAAACAAAACAAAACAAAAAAACUUAAAGCCCUGAACUUGGAUUAAGAUGGUCCCCAGCCUGGAGUUAAAAGCAAAAAACAAACAAACAAUCAAAAAACAUCUCUGAAAAGAAGGUGACUUCAUCUAAGUUGGCCUCACAUUAUUUUUAAAAACAUUUAAUUUUCAAACAUGAUGGCCAGCAUUCAUUCAAAAAUAAACAAACAUGGAGUUCCCGUCAUGGCGCAGUGGUUAACGAAUCCAACUAGGAACCAUGAGGUUGCGGGUUCGGUCCCUGCCCUUGCUCAGUGGGUUGGCAAUCUGGCAUUGCCGUGAGCUGUGGUGUAGGUUACAGACGCAGCUCGGAUCCCGAGUUGUUGUGGCUCUGGCAUAGGCUGGUGGCUACAGCUCCAAUUGGACCCCUAGCCUGGGAACCUCCCUAUGCCGCUGGAGCAGCCCAAGAAAUG